Microtus ochrogaster (prairie vole) is the source of this 80-nucleotide unclassified non-coding RNA. Ensembl annotates it as predicted gene, 27898. NCBI's taxonomy places the organism in Eukaryota, Metazoa, Chordata, Mammalia, Rodentia, Cricetidae. The record is from Ensembl.
AAAAGCCGGAACUUGGGAGCCAGGGGGUCAUUCUCGGCUUUGCUGCGGCUGGGACCUAGAUUCAAAAGAGCUUCCGGAAA